RNAcentral lists this ribosomal RNA (228 nucleotides) under uncultured eukaryote. RNAcentral describes it as "partial 18S ribosomal RNA". The record is from RNAcentral.
UCGUGGAGUGAUCUGUCUGCUUAAUUGCGUUUCACUUAUGGCUCAUUUGUGUUUAUACCUUUGUGUUGACCGCACUGCAUAUUUCUGUGGUGUUUGCGUCCGCUUAGGGAUACACGAUGUAGCCUCGAAGGCAACGAACGUGACCGCAACCUCUUGUUGCCUCCCACGUGCUUGGCUGGAAAUGUUAGAAUUUUUCUACGAACUUUCAGUAUUCCAAGCCACGGUUAG